AUUCCAGCUCCAAUAGCGUAUAUUAAAGUUGUUGCAGUUAAAAAGCUCGUAGUUGAACUUCUGGCUAUUCUUCCAGCUGGCUUCGGUCGCUGUAAGAGUGGUCAUCCGCUUGGGAACUACGUUCGAACUUCACUGUUCGGCGUAAGGAACAGGCAUUUUACUUAGAAAAAAUUAGAGUGUUCAAGGCAGGCUAUCGCCCUGAAUACACAAGCUUGGAAUAAUGAAAUAGGACUAUUUCCAUUUUAUUGGUUAUUGGAAUUAGUAAUGAUUAAUAGGGCCAGUUGGGGGCAUUAGUAUUCAGUAGUCAGAGGUGAAAUUCUUGGAUUUACUGAAGACUAACUAGUGCGAAAGCAUUUGCCAAGGAUGUUUUCAUCG
The sequence is a ribosomal RNA, 375 nucleotides long. It matches the Rfam family "Eukaryotic small subunit ribosomal RNA", at positions 582 to 975 of the family's 1831-position model.